This 1246-nucleotide unclassified non-coding RNA is filed under the name Hevea brasiliensis (rubber tree). The record is from RNAcentral. Lineage: Eukaryota; Viridiplantae; Streptophyta; Magnoliopsida; Malpighiales; Euphorbiaceae.
UAUGCCUAAUGGGUACUCCAAGGUAAUGAUCACUAGUGUACAUUUUUUAGGUCCGUAACUUGAAACCAGUUUGAGUCUGUAUCCUUCACAUUUAUUGCAAUUCUCCAGGUGGGUGUUCUUCCUCUUCAGCUAGUAAUGAGUUUGUUGAGUUAAUUGCAACGUUGGAGGUUUAGUUGAGAGCAUUUAAUUGAACACAAAGGUCAUAAAUCAUGAACAUUUGCAUUCCCAAGUCAACAUGGGGCUCAUCCAUCUAAGAGUUUUCGUUUUGUCUAGUGAUUACUCACUGAAUCCCCACACUGUCACUAGCCAGUUGUUUAGUCUCUCGGCGAAUAUAAGCCUUCCUAGGGUCUUUAUUAUAUUGACCUGGAUGCUCCCUCUGGUCUCAAAAUUAUUGUUUUAAGUUCCAAGUUUCAACAACUAGGGUUGCUUAAAAUCAUUUAAUUAUUGCCAAGGUACAUGAGCAAAUCGAGAAUACCACAUUAUUUUUAUCAAUAGAAGCCUCCAUUACCCAUAUUUUGGUGCCUUGAAUUCAUUGAUUUCAUAUCCUUUUGCAAGUAAAUGCCUAAUUAUCCUAAUAAACAAUAUAUUUGAUGUUUCUAUUCCAAUCUCUGAAGCUGUCUUGGCUAUCUUUAUUAUUAUUUUUAGUAAUUUUUAUCUGGUUCCAGCCUUAUGAUAGUGCUAUUUCUUUAUAGUCAAACUCCAAAGACUGGCUAUUUUGUUUCCACAUGAGUGUUCAAAUCUUUUAUUUAGAUUAUAGACGGCACUACACAUUUCGAUGUCACCCUCUACGGUGUAUCUUUUGAUGCCAAUCCUUUCACUGAGCCCAACCUGGAGCCUUUUCCGUGAUUUGCCUCCAUUUUUCUAUAAAGAAUUAGUAUUCUUUAAUAUUGCAUUAUACACUGACGUCUUAAAAUAAUGCAAGAGGAUAACCCCAAAGAAGGUUCGUAAUAAUAAAAUACGAAUCUCUCACUCCCCAUUUUUAUAUAAGCUUAUUUAUUUAUUGCGAUCUGAGUUUGUCUCGCUGCAGCUUUCUUCCAAUCCAUGGAAGCGGCAUUUCAUCAUUCUAUCAUCAUUUUAAUUUCUAAUCAUUAGGUGACAGAAAGUAGGAACUUAGUUUUUGGCCUUAAAAUAAUACAAAAAUAAAUCUUUCUUUCAUCCGUAGCUAUCAGUAAUUAAUCUGUUUCUCAUCAUUCUGACUUGGCUAAUCUACCUACUGAAUUGCAGGUUACAUGGGUUGAGCACGCAG